GGUGGCUCACUGGUAGAGCGCUUGCUUUGCAUGCAUGAGACCCUGGGUUCGAUUCCUCAGCACCA
This 65-nucleotide transfer RNA is filed under the name Dipodomys ordii (Ord's kangaroo rat). It matches the Rfam family "tRNA". From Rfam's summary of the family: Transfer RNA (tRNA) molecules are approximately 80 nucleotides in length. Their secondary structure includes four short double-helical elements and three loops (D, anti-codon, and T loops). Further hydrogen bonds mediate the characteristic L-shaped molecular structure. tRNAs have two regions of fundamental functional importance: the anti-codon, which is responsible for specific mRNA codon recognition, and the 3' end, to which the tRNAs corresponding amino acid is attached (by aminoacyl-tRNA synthetases). tRNAs cope with the degeneracy of the genetic code in two manners: having more than one tRNA (with a specific anti-codon) for a particular amino acid; and 'wobble' base-pairing, i.e. permitting non-standard base-pairing at the 3rd anti-codon position. The record is from Rfam by way of RNAcentral. Lineage: Eukaryota; Metazoa; Chordata; Mammalia; Rodentia; Heteromyidae.